RNAcentral lists this small nuclear RNA (45 nucleotides) under Cervus elaphus hippelaphus. The record is from RNAcentral. Lineage: Eukaryota; Metazoa; Chordata; Mammalia; Artiodactyla; Cervidae.
AUCGCUUCUCAGCCUUUUGGCUAAGAUCACAUGCUGAGCCUGUUC